AGAGUUUGAUCAUGGCUCAGGAUGAACGCUAGCUACAGGCUUAACACAUGCAAGUCGAGGGGCAUCAGUUUGGCUUGCUUGCAAACCAAAGCUGGCGACCGGCGCACGGGUGAGUAACACGUAUCCAACCUGCCUCAUACUCGGGGAUAGCCUUUCGAAAGAAAGAUUAAUAUCCGAUAGCAUAUAUUUCCCGCAUGGGUUUUAUAUUAAAGAAAUUCGGUAUGAGAUGGGGAUGCGUUCCAUUUAG
RNAcentral lists this ribosomal RNA (247 nucleotides) under uncultured bacterium. RNAcentral describes it as "partial 16S ribosomal RNA". It matches the Rfam family "Bacterial small subunit ribosomal RNA", at positions 8 to 245 of the family's 1533-position model. The record is from RNAcentral.